Molecule: transfer RNA, 66 nt
Filed under: Cafeteria roenbergensis
Lineage: Eukaryota; Bigyra; Bicosoecida; Cafeteriaceae
Rfam family: tRNA
About the family: Transfer RNA (tRNA) molecules are approximately 80 nucleotides in length. Their secondary structure includes four short double-helical elements and three loops (D, anti-codon, and T loops).
Source: RNAcentral
UUCAUGGCACAGUUGGUUAGCGCACAGCUCUCAUAAGGCUGGAGUCCCGAGUUCGAGUCUCGGUGA